GACGAACGCUGGCAGCGUGCUUAACACAUGCAAGUCGUACGAUGACCCGGCUCUUCGGAGCUGGUGAUUAGUGGCGAACGGGUGAGUAACACGUGGGUGACCUGCCCUGCACUCUGGGAUAAGCCCGGGAAACUGGGUCUAAUACUGGAUACGACCAGUGGCCGCAUGGUCUGCUGGUGGAAAGCCCUUCGGGGUGGUGUGGGAUGGGCCCGCGGCCUAUCAGCUUGUUGGUGGGGUGAUGGCCUACCAAGGCGACGACGGGUAGCCGGCCUGAGAGGGUGUCCGGCCACACUGGGACUGAGACACGGCCCAGACUCCUACGGGAGGCAGCAGUGGGGAAUCUUGCACAAUGGGCGAAAGCCUGAUGCAGCGACGCCGCGUGAGGGAUGACGGCCUUCGGGUUGUAAACCUCUUUCGGCAGGGAACAAGCCUGGGGGUUUUCUUCUGGGUGAGGGUACCUGCGGAAGAAGCACCGGCUAACUACGUG
RNAcentral lists this ribosomal RNA (487 nucleotides) under uncultured bacterium. RNAcentral's name for it is "partial 16S ribosomal RNA". It matches the Rfam family "Bacterial small subunit ribosomal RNA", at positions 28 to 507 of the family's 1533-position model. The record is from RNAcentral.